Molecule: transfer RNA, 85 nt
Filed under: Felis catus (domestic cat)
Lineage: Eukaryota; Metazoa; Chordata; Mammalia; Carnivora; Felidae
Rfam family: tRNA
About the family: Transfer RNA (tRNA) molecules are approximately 80 nucleotides in length. Their secondary structure includes four short double-helical elements and three loops (D, anti-codon, and T loops). Further hydrogen bonds mediate the characteristic L-shaped molecular structure. tRNAs have two regions of fundamental functional importance: the anti-codon, which is responsible for specific mRNA codon recognition, and the 3' end, to which the tRNAs corresponding amino acid is attached (by aminoacyl-tRNA synthetases). tRNAs cope with the degeneracy of the genetic code in two manners: having more than one tRNA (with a specific anti-codon) for a particular amino acid; and 'wobble' base-pairing, i.e. permitting non-standard base-pairing at the 3rd anti-codon position.
Source: Rfam by way of RNAcentral
GCCUGGGUGGCUCAGUCAGUUAAGUGCCUGACUUCAGCUCAGGUCAUGAUUUUGUGGUUUGUGGGUUCAAGCCCCACAUCGGGUU